CUUGCUCCUUUGACGUUAGCGGCGGACGGGUGAGUAACACGUGGGUAACCUACCUAUAAGACUGGGACAACUUCGGGAAACCGGAGCUAAUACCGGAUAAUAUGUUGAACCGCAUGGUUCAAUAGUGAAAGAUGGUUUUGCUAUCACUUAUAGAUGGACCCGCGCCGUAUUAGCUAGUUGGUGAGGUAACGGCUCACCAAGGCAACGAUACGUAGCCGACCUGAGAGGGUGAUCGGCCACACUGGAACUGAGACACGGUCCAGACUCCUACGGGAGGCAGCAGUAGGGAAUCUUCCGCAAUGGGCGAAAGCCUGACGGAGCAACGCCGCGUGAGUGAUGAAGGUCUUAGGAUCGUAAAACUCUGUUAUUAGGGAAGAACAAACGUGUAAGUAACUGUGCACGUCUUGACGGUACCUAAUCAGAAAGCCACGGCUAACUACGUGCCAGCAGCCGCGGUAAUACGUAGGUGGCAAGCGUUAUCCGGAAUUAUUGGGCGUAAAGCGCGCGUAGGCGGUUUUUUAAGUCUGAUGUGAAAGCCCACGGCUCAACCGUGGAGGGUCAUUGGAAACUGGAAAACUUGAGUGCAGAAGAGGAAAGUGGAAUUCCAUGUGUAGCGGUGGAAUGCGCAGAGAUACGGAGGAACACCAGUGGCGAAGGCGACUUUCUGGUCUGUAACUGACGCUGAUGUGCGAAAGCGUGGGGAUCAAACAGGAUUAGAUACCCUGGUAGUCCACGCCGUAAACGAUGAGUGCUAAGUGUUAGGGGGUUUCCGCCCCUUAGUGCUGCAGCUACGCAUUAAGCACUCCGCCUGGGGAGUACGACCGCAAG
This 828-nucleotide ribosomal RNA is filed under the name uncultured Staphylococcus sp. RNAcentral's name for it is "bacterial SSU rRNA". It matches the Rfam family "Bacterial small subunit ribosomal RNA", at positions 79 to 892 of the family's 1533-position model. Lineage: Bacteria; Bacillati; Bacillota; Bacilli; Caryophanales; Staphylococcaceae. The record is from RNAcentral.